RNAcentral lists this ribosomal RNA (395 nucleotides) under uncultured bacterium. RNAcentral's name for it is "bacterial SSU rRNA". It matches the Rfam family "Bacterial small subunit ribosomal RNA", at positions 521 to 916 of the family's 1533-position model. The record is from RNAcentral.
UAAUACAGAGGGUGCGAGCGUUAAUCGGAAUCACUGGGCUUAAAGCGUGCGUAGGCGGACGUGCAGGCAUGUUGUGAAAUCCCAUGGCUCAACCAUGGAAUUGCUUCGUGAACCGCAUGUCUCGAGGCAGGUAGAGGCGGUCGGAACGCUAGGUGGAGCGGUGAAAUGCGUAGAUAUCUAGCGGAACGCCAAAGGAGAAGUCAGGCCGCUGGGCCUCGCCUGACGCUGAGGCACGAAAGCGUGGGGAGCAAACGGGAUUAGAUACCCCGGUAGUCCACGCCCUAAACGAUGCGCACUAGAUCGAGGAGGCUGACGCCCCCUUGAUCGAAGCAAAAGUGUUAAGUGCGCCGCCUGGGGAGUACGGUCGCAAGGCUAAAACUCAAAGGAAUUGACGG